Molecule: ribosomal RNA, 254 nt
Filed under: uncultured bacterium
Lineage: Bacteria
Description: partial 16S ribosomal RNA
Rfam family: Bacterial small subunit ribosomal RNA
Source: RNAcentral
UACAGAGGGGGCGAAGCGUUAUUCGGAAUUAUUGGGCGUAAAGGGCGCGUAGGCGGCUUUGCAAGUGGCGGGUGAAAUCCCUCGGCUUAACCGAGGAACUGCCUGCCAGACUGUGAGGCUUGAGACCGGGAGAGGUGAGUGGAAUUCCCAGUGUAGCGGUGAAAUGCGUAGAUAUUGGGAGGAACACCAGUGGCGAAGGCGGCUCACUGGACCGGAACUGACGCUGAGGCGCGAAAGCGUGGGGAGCAAACAGG